AAUUCCUGUCUUAUUUCUGCUAACUUUCUACAAUUAAGUUGAUUAAAUUCCAUGAAAGAUAGAAUUUCUCGAUUAGAAAAGGAACGAUCCGUAUAGUCAUCGGAAAAACGAAAUUUUGAUUCUUCCUUGCAAACACAAAAACGAGACUCAUAUGAAGGAUUACCUACGUAUCUUCUUCAUUGUCAGCGUUUGGCACGCAACAUCCAUGUAUAAGUAGAUAUGAAGAUAAUAGAGAUAAGAGAGAUAUGAAAGUAAACCCUCCGUUUAUGAAAUCUUAAUACGUUUCAAAGUUGCCGUCAUUUAUUGUUGAAAACUUGAAACAGUGAAAGUGAAAAUGUUCCGGCAUAUCUUUCACCAGGGCAUCUUUACGCUUCUACAACAGGGAAUUGGGUAUGAUAACCACGUUAUGUGCAACGGACUUCCAGUUCAGUAACGUCUCACAAGCAACUAUAUGUAUAUCUUAGUUUUGUCUGUCGUUCUAGUCCUUCGACGUCGAUGCUUCCGCCAAGUGUUGAAAAUUACCUUAUGUGGAAAAGUGUAAACCUCAAUCAAGAUGGGAAACCUGAUGUACCGUGAGACUUUUGGAUAAUCGCUGCUCGUUCUUGUGACGCCAAACAACCGCUUUGUUUCUGGAAAAUCUAAAAAUGGAGUUGUAAAAUUAGCGUAUGAUCGUUCCUGCAUCAAAUGGGGGCAUGCGAUUAACAGUAAGAUCCAAUUAAACAAAACGCUUUAAGGAAAUUACAUGAUGAUUGAAGUGAAUGUUUCCAUGGGUACGUACCAUUGUUGAAGGUGAUGGAAAGAACUUACCAAUCAUGGCUCACCCACCUUUGAAAACUUCUGACCUGAGUCUGGAAGAAUUCAUCGACACAAUUAUAAGAAGUGGUACAAGUAAAGAAAUCAAACUUGAUUUCAAAGAUACAGAAGCUGUCCAUCCUUCUUUAGAGAU
Molecule: long non-coding RNA, 946 nt
Organism: Daphnia pulicaria
Lineage: Eukaryota; Metazoa; Arthropoda; Branchiopoda; Diplostraca; Daphniidae
Exons: 3
Source: RefSeq, a predicted model, not a curated record